AUGCAUCCUCCUCCAAAGUCGCUCCUCAUCCUCCUCCUCCACGCGGUCCUGCUCGCCGCCUCACCACAUGCGCUGGCGCAGCGGCUACCGGCGGCCGCCUGCACGCCGCAGGAGAGGGACGCGCUGCUGGCGUUCAAGCAAGGCAUCACCAUCAGCAGCGACACCGCUGGCCUCCUCGCCUCAUGGCGCGAAGACGACUGCUGCCAGUGGAGGGGUGUCCGGUGCAGCAACCGGACCGGCCAUGUCGUCGCGCUCAACCUUCGAGGGCACGAACUGGUCGGUGAGAUAAGUCCUUCUUUGCUCUCCCUGCCGCACCUGGAGCAUCUCGAUCUCAGCUCCAACAGCCUCGUCGGCCCGGCUGGCAGUAUUCCCGAAUUUCUGGGUUCUCUGGGUAACCUGAUUACCUGA
This 408-nucleotide ribosomal RNA is filed under the name Triticum aestivum (bread wheat). RNAcentral's name for it is "partial small subunit ribosomal RNA". Lineage: Eukaryota; Viridiplantae; Streptophyta; Magnoliopsida; Poales; Poaceae. The record is from RNAcentral.